This 107-nucleotide small nuclear RNA is filed under the name Leptosomus discolor (cuckoo roller). The record is from RNAcentral. Lineage: Eukaryota; Metazoa; Chordata; Aves; Leptosomiformes; Leptosomidae.
AUGCUCCCCUCGGCAGCACAUACACUAAAAUUGGAACGAUACAGAGAAGAUUAGCACGGCCCCUGCACAAGGAUGAUGCUCAAAUUCGAGAAGCGCUCCGUGGUACG